AGGUUGUAAUAGAGGUGCCAGCCAUAGAUUCUGCCUUCCAGUGAAGAUGAACAUCCCAGGGCUCCCUGCCUAGCCAUGGCUCCCUUCCUGCUCUGUUCAGCACAGUGGAGACUGGACAGUCUGCCAGAUGCAGGACUUCUCCCUGCAUGCCUUGUAAACUAGGAGCUCCACCAUGGAUACCUCUCUGGAGGCUGAAUUUUCUCGUAUUCUUCAAGAAAAAUCAUGGAGGCUAUUUUAUUCUGUGCCUUCAAGACGGGCUCUGAGAGCGAAGGUGGGGAGAAGAAGAAGAAGCACAGAAUUUGUUAUCAGCCUGCACUCACUCCUCCACACUCUGCUGGAACAGAGAACUCCACUGUGUUGUCUGGGCACGGAUGGGGCAGAACACGGCACUCCUUUGCUUUUUAGUUAGUUUAGCUAGCUGAGGCAGUCAGGUUUUCCCAGGUUUUCUUUCCCUUUUCUUGGAUGUGUUUGAACCUGCUCUGGACUGGGACCCGGGGAAACACCGAGAGCUCACACUUUGUGGCCCACCGGGGCCUACUGUGGGCAGCAGCCUUUCCCAGUGCUGGAGUGACUGAUAACAGAGACACCACGCACCGGAGAGACUUUCUGAAUUUGUCAUCUCUUCAGAGCAAUGAAUGAGUUUUGUCAUCUGAUAUUGUUAAUUUUUUUUGUGCUGGGGACUGCUUUGCCUGUUAAAUAAACAGGUUUUUUCCACUUC
Molecule: long non-coding RNA, 718 nt
Organism: Vidua chalybeata
Lineage: Eukaryota; Metazoa; Chordata; Aves; Passeriformes; Viduidae
Exons: 2
Source: RefSeq, a predicted model, not a curated record